AGCGGUCAUGGAGAGUCUCCAUCCAGCUGGAUCACUGUCACAGAGAAACACACCACCACACCUCCACCUACAUCCACACGUCCACCUACAUCCACACUUCCAUCUACAGCCACACCUCCACCUAAAACCACCUCGACCACCUUGACCUUUCCUGCCGCUUCCUCUCCUCUUCUCCCGGUGUUGCUGACUGCUGGGACACUCUGUGUCAUAGCUCUAGUGGUCUUACUGAUUGUUUUGGUGGAACGAUAUGUUGACAGGAAGCUUCAAGAGAGCGCUUUAGCUGCCGUCUACUCAGCAGUGAGGACAGAAGACAUCUGUUAUGCAGAAAUCAAGAUUAAAGAGAAACCCAUAUAAACAAAGACCAGAUUGUGAAGCCAGAGCUCUGUACUGAAGAUUCCCACCAGUCCAGCCGAUGACUUCCAGCUACUGGUCCAACCGACCCAUAAGACCUGUGUUUUUCUCAUCACCUUACACAGCCAGCACGCUUGCCUUAUCAAGAGUAUGUAUAGUAUGUAAUGCAUUAAUGCAGUAAUGGAAUGCACUGUAUAUGAUCCCCUAUUGAUCUUUCUAUCGAUCUAUUUAAUUUCUAAGUGGGAGACCGUGCUGUCUGCUCCACAGCAGUGAUCUAGUUUUUCUGCAGAAUCAAUAAACUUUGGUCUCACUUUUGUUCUCGUGUGGUUCUGUGGGUUUCAGAAAGAUGUCUGAUGCUAACUGAUACACGCCACAGCUGCACACUAUAAACAGCAGGAGCAUUAUUCAGUGGCUGGAAACUUCAGAGAAAAAAAAGUCAGAACAAAGUGCGUACGUGUUCGUGAUAGGAAAUGAAGUCUGUUGGGCUAUGGAUGGCUGCACUGGGAGAUGACGUUUAACUUAAGAAGCUGUACACCGCAUCUUAGCUGGCGUGCAGUUUGCUGUCUGUGGUUCAAAGUCUGUUACACUCUCCAAGGUCCCAAAAAAAGAAAUCGGUUACAUCUGAUGUUUCAAACAAAUAGAGCUGAGUGUCUUUUUCAAAUGAUCAGCUAGUUACAAGUCUAAUAGAUACAUAAUGAGCAGAUUCCAACUCAUUUUUUAAUGUCUUACCUUCACAGCAGCACAUCAACAGCCCAGUGCUCCUGCAGCUGUCGUACACAGAUGUUAUUACAAGUUAGUGUAGUUUCUUCAAGUUCCUUCUUAUUGUCAGCUCUCAUUAAAAUAGCAACUGCUCUCUUGCACUAGUCAUGCAUUUGUGAAAUAAUAAAGUAAACACCUGUUAAAGUGUUUCUGUCAUAGCAGUGUGAGUGGCGGGCAGAUGUGCAGAACGCACAUGCAGGGUUUUCUUUGUUGCAAUAAGAAAAGCAGUAUUUGUAAUAUCACCAUUUAGCAUUUAGGUAACAGAUGUGAAGUCGUGGUUUUAAAGUAGAGUUUAAUGAGCUGAUUUAGCAGCAAAAGUGAUUCUUGGAUG
This is a long non-coding RNA of Haplochromis burtoni (Burton's mouthbrooder), 1441 nucleotides long. RefSeq lists it as uncharacterized. The transcript is spliced from 4 exons. The record is from RefSeq and is a predicted model, not a curated record. NCBI's taxonomy places the organism in Eukaryota, Metazoa, Chordata, Actinopteri, Cichliformes, Cichlidae.